This 1970-nucleotide long non-coding RNA is filed under the name Sorghum bicolor (sorghum). Its description in RNAcentral is "long non-coding RNA (SBIC_LNC012702)". Lineage: Eukaryota; Viridiplantae; Streptophyta; Magnoliopsida; Poales; Poaceae. The record is from RNAcentral.
UAAAAAAUCCCGAACAUUUAUUGAAUGACAAAUAUGUGACAUUUCUUUAUUGCAUUCCCGAUUAUAGAUUUACAACCAUUUUGGCAAAUAUGUUUAUAUAUACAAGGUUUACACAUUGAUGACGAGGUAAUUUAAAAACAACACAAAUUCAUACAACCAACAUUGUCCCUCCACCAUGCCACAAAUAAGCAAAUAAUCAAAUGCAGCCGCCUCGUGAAAUGAUGCUCGAAAUAAUGCUCCUUCAUCAAGCACUUCUCCAAUAUUGUUUAUGCACCAAUUCCCUUCCUAAAAACCAUGAAAAAGAAAUGUUCAAUCAAAUAGUGAUUCCAAGAACAGAUAUCACUGCAAUGACAAGGUAAUAUAGCACUACUGCUUGGUGAUAUAGAGGACAGUAACAGCAGCAGCAAACUAGCAUGUUUCAAUCCAAUCUGACACAAAAAUCAAUUCAUAUUUGUCACCCUCACAAAGCAAAUGACUUUCCAAUCUUAACUGCUACUAGCAAAGUAAUAGAUGAGCUUUCAGUUCAGGAAAUUUCUACUGUACUUUAUAGCAAAGAAAUGCAUGUCCUUUCUUCUAAGAGGAACCAUCAAGAUACAUACACAUGGAACAAUCAUUCAUCUGCAGCUCUAAAAUUUCAACUUUUAAGCUAACACUUGACAAAUUUUACUAGCAAAGAAAACAAAGAGAAUGAAACUUUAUCCAGCCACCGAAGCCAUUAUUGCUAACUGAAAAUUAACAGAAAAAAGAGCAAGGCAAUAUCACCUUAAUCCCAAUCAAACUUAUCUAAAAUCAAGACAUACCAGUUGAAGUAGAAAACAAGACAUACCAGUUGAAGUAGAAACCAACACAUACCAGUUCAAGUAGAAACCAGCAAACUUUAAUUUAGUAUGAAAUAUUACUAAAUGAAUUUAAAAUACAGAGAAUGCCUAUAAUCAACUGGAUAUUUAAUUUAAAAUACGGUACUAGCGGUAGCAGUAACCUGAGGAAACAACUAACAGAUAUGAGAUUAUCUAAUUAAGAACUCAGGACUAACAGAUAUAAAGAGCGAAGACUCGGAGCAUACACAGUACUAACACUAGCAGCAACCUGAGGAAAACAUGCGAGCCAUUAACUAAUGAACUAUCAUCCAUCAAUACAAUCAUCUUGAUAUUUAAUUUAAUUGUUUUGAUAAAUACAGAUGUGUGUGAUACAUCUCGUGCUCACCUGCUGGUGUCCCGCUGCCAGACUACAAAAAUGGGGCUGCUUCCCAGAUGCGCACUCAGCAAAAUCCUGCUGUAUUAAAAAGAGAGGAGAUGAAAAAAAGCACUUGACACAGGGUGACGACAGAAGAGAUUGAUGCUGAUAAAAAAUGAUAAAAGACAUGAAACGAAAGAAAUCAAAUUACCAGGCCUACACUAUGUGUUUUGACAGUAACUGCAAAGGCCAUCCCUGUUCAACACACAGGGGCAGCACGGGAUCUGAGUGGGGCCGGCAUCGACGGCACCUGCAGCAGCCACAUACGGUGCUUCCUCAUGGGUGCCGGCGCGGACAACAGCAUCACGAACUAGCAGUCAGCGGUGGCAGGGACAAAGGGGCAGGCCUAGACACCACAGGAGGAGACGUGGAUCUCAUGCUUGAACUGCCCCUGCUGACGAGAAGCCCAACUGAGAGCUCCGGAUCUGGGCUUCUACGCCAUGGAUCUCAUUGCCCAGGAAUACCUGACAUCCAAGCUGCGGGCGUCGCUAGCUCCAGCCCUCUGCGGUGGGCCAGAUCCCGCCGGAGAGGUCGAGCUGUUCACUGUCCGAUGCGGCCACCUCCUCCACCAUGCCAGCGCCUCACCGGUGACCUCCCCUGUGGCAACGGGCGGCGCAACGGCAGGGUCUAUGGGGAGAGUGGCAGUGGCGUGUCCACGAGUUGGAUUUGGGGAGAAAUGAAAUUUAGGGUUUGGAAAGCUCAUGGAUGGCUGUUUUAUUCGCUACUGCGGAAAUCAU